UAGAUAAAUAUUUAUAGUUUUAUAAAUUUAUUUAUAAUUUAUUUUACAUAUAAAUUUUAGUAUUAAUUUUUAAUUAUUUUAAUAAUAAUUAUAAUUAUUUUAAUAGUAAUUAAAAUUAAAAAUUUAAGAAAUUAAGAUUUAGUAAUAUUAAAAUUAUUAACAAAUUUUGUGCCAGCAGUUGCGGUUAUACAAAAAUUAAAAUAAAUUUUUUUAGUUUUAAUAAAAAAUAUAAUUUAAAAUUAAAUAUUAAAUUAUUAGGUGAAAUUUUAAUUUAAUUAAAAUUUAAUGUUAAUUUUUGAUUUAAUAAAUUUAAAAAUAGACUAGGAUUAGAUACCCUAUUAUUAAAAAAUUUAAUUUAUAAUACUAAAAUAUUAAAUAAUUAAUUAUUGAAACUUAAAUAAUUUGGCGGUAUUUUAGUUCAUUUAGAGGAACUUGUUUAAUAAUUGAUAAUCCACGAAUAAAUUUACUUAAUUUAUUAUUUUGUAUAUCGUUGUUAAAAAAAUAUUUUUUAAUAAUAAUAAUAUUUUAAAUUUAAAAAUAAAAAUUAAUUCAGAUCAAGAUGCAGAUUAUAAUUAAGAAUAUAAUGAGUUACAAUAAAUUUAUUUAAUAUGGAUUUUAUUUUGUAAUAAAUAAUAGAAGGUGGAUUUAAAUGUAAUUUUAUAUAUUUAUAUAAAAUGAUUAUAAAUUAAAAUAUGUACAUAUUGCCCGUCGCUUUCAUUUUAAAAUUGGAAUAAGUCGUAACAAAGUAGAAGUACUGGAAAGUGUUUCUAGUAACAA
Molecule: ribosomal RNA, 777 nt
Filed under: Darpa inopinata
Lineage: Eukaryota; Metazoa; Arthropoda; Insecta; Lepidoptera; Hesperiidae
Description: 12S ribosomal RNA
Source: RNAcentral